Molecule: non-coding RNA, 863 nt
Organism: Callithrix jacchus (white-tufted-ear marmoset)
Lineage: Eukaryota; Metazoa; Chordata; Mammalia; Primates; Cebidae
Source: RefSeq, a predicted model, not a curated record
GGAAAGCCAGCGAUGUCAUGUGGACACUCAAGCAGUCCUCUGGAGUUAGCCACAUGGUGAAAAAUGGAGUCCUCCUGCCACCAGCCAAAAGAGACUUGCCAGCCGUGUGAGUGAGCCAGCCCAGACACUCCAGCCCCAGUUAAACCUUCGGAGGACUGCGGCCUCACCAACAUCUUGACUACAACUUCAUGAGAGACCCAGAGCUAGACCCAUGCAGCUAAGCUGUUCCCCAGUUCCUGGCCCACAGACACUGUGAGAGAUAAUAAAUGUGUAUUUCUGUUUGAAGCUGCUAAGUUUUGGGGUAAUUGGUUUGGCAGUAAUAGGUAACUGAUAGCAUUAGGAAACAUUAGCUAAUGCUAUCCAUGUUUUGCAAAUGAGAGAAUUGAGGCAUAAAAGUAACUUGCCCCAGGUCACACGCGCAACAGGUGGUUUAAACUAUGGCAGUUUGGAUCUGUGUAAAGCUCAGGUAGUAAAUUAGAAUCUCUCUUUUACAGGAAUCAGGACACUUUACCUGCUCAGAGGGAGGGGGAAAGAGACGGAGACACAAACACAGAGAGACAGUGACACGGAGAAGUGUGCCAUGGGCUCGCAAUACCGUGUGAAGGACUGGGGCUGCACCUGCUUAAAGUGAAGGCAGUGGAGAAGUGCAGUGAAGUGAAGUAUUUAGAAACGGAGCCACAGAGUUUGAGUUGCCCAAGUUCACAUAACUAGAAAGGAAUGCCUUUCCCCCGAUCUUCAUGGGUCAGGAUCCAUCUUGCCGUUCAGUGAAAUGUCACCUCCUCCAUGAGGCCUCACCUGAUCACCUUCUCUACAGUUACCCCAUUGCUUUCACAUCUGUCUGUUUUUCUCAUUGAAGUUAUGAU